GACGAACGCUGGCGGCGUGCCUAAUACAUGCAAGUAGAACGCUGAAGCGAGGAGCUUGCUCUUCUUGGAUGAGUUGCGAACGGGUGAGUAACGCGUAGGUAACCUGCCUUGUAGCGGGGGAUAACUAUUGGAAACGAUAGCUAAUACCGCAUAACAAUGGAUGACACAUGUCAUUUAUUUGAAAGGGGCAAUUGCUCCACUACAAGAUGGACCUGCGUUGUAUUAGCUAGUAGGUGAGGUAAUGGCUCACCUAGGCGACGAUACAUAGCCGACCUGAGAGGGUGGUCGGCCACACUGGGACUGAGACACGGCCCAGACUCCUACGGGAGGCAGCAGUAGGGAAUCUUCGGCAAUGGGGGCAACCCUGACCGAGCAACGCCGCGUGAGUGAAGAAGGUUUUCGGAUCGUAAAGUUCUGUUGUAAGUCAAGAACGGGUGUGAGAGUGGAAAGUUCACACUGUGACGGUAGCUUACCAGAAAGGGACGGCUAACUACGUG
Molecule: ribosomal RNA, 497 nt
Filed under: uncultured bacterium
Lineage: Bacteria
Description: partial 16S ribosomal RNA
Rfam family: Bacterial small subunit ribosomal RNA
Source: RNAcentral